Long non-coding RNA from Bubalus bubalis (water buffalo), 298 nucleotides. RefSeq lists it as uncharacterized. The transcript has 2 exons. Lineage: Eukaryota; Metazoa; Chordata; Mammalia; Artiodactyla; Bovidae. The record is from RefSeq and is a predicted model, not a curated record.
UAAGGAAAUGCAUGCAAAAUAAAUAAUAUGUACAAUUUACAUACUUAAAAUUUUAAAUAUUUAAUGCUGCCAUAAAUGUUUUCUAUAGGCACUAUAAUAGACUGCUGUUAAAAAUGCAAACCAGGAGAAAUUUUCUAUAGGGGAGAUUACUCCUGACUUCUGUGUGGUCCCUUGAAGUUAUACAACCUAAAGCAAGAGUGAAUAUGUAAAUGUGUUGAAGCAAUCUACAUGCAGAAGGUUCUGACUGAGAUGUUCUGUUUAAUAAAUGUAAAACAGCUGCAUUUUAAAAUUAUAUCUC